UAGCCACAUUUCUUCUGACAGAGCUCCGAC
Molecule: non-coding RNA, 30 nt
Filed under: Mus musculus (house mouse)
Lineage: Eukaryota; Metazoa; Chordata; Mammalia; Rodentia; Muridae
Source: RNAcentral